This 31-nucleotide non-coding RNA is filed under the name Rattus norvegicus (Norway rat). The record is from RNAcentral. Lineage: Eukaryota; Metazoa; Chordata; Mammalia; Rodentia; Muridae.
UCCCCCUAAACGGCGAAUAGCAAUAUUGGGA